AAGAUCUAGGGUAACUAAAUGCAAUGGCAUUGGCAAAACAAUAGAAUUGGGAGGGACUUGCUAAGAUCUAAAGUGUAUACCUAAAGGAUUUGGACAGAGGGGGAAAAACAGGAAAGUAAUGUAUGUGAAAUGACAGAAUGGAUAUAGAAGAAACAAAAUUUUAAUUCUGGGACUACAGGUCCAAUACCUUCCCCUUCUUGUCGUCUUGCCAGAACAAGCAGGGCCUGCUACACUAAUAUCUAAGGGCCCUAAGGAUCUCUUUUUACCAUCAUUCAUUAUUUAACUUCAAAACUCUAAUGUUCUCUAAUAGUAGCUGUUGAUUAGUAUUUCUUUAUUCUCUUCCUGUGUAGUAUCUGUUUCAUGAUCACAAGGCAUUGGAAUAAGCUUUUAGCCAGAAAAUUCCAGCCAAUAAAGUGUCACCGUGAGAGCCGCUUAGACAAGACUGAAAAUCUACAAGAUGACAUCAGUUAAUACAGGAAGACAGCUGAAAAUGUGGCGCAUUCAUAGAGAAGGCGAGUUGGAGAAUUUUAUGCUUGAGAAGAAGAUAAAGAAUCUCUAUGGAUGUUUGAAUUUUGGAAAGAGACUACAUGCAUGAAGAAUAACGUAUAGUAGAAAUGAAUAAAACAAGAUCAAACUACUGUCAUCCAUGUAGACUGUAAGUCAGAUGGCUUUGUCUUCGUAGUUUUAUUUUUCAAACAUUCACUUGUAUUAUUUUCAUAGAACUAUUUUAACAGAAUUUCUCAUUCUCCCAACUUUUACAAGUCCACUAAGGACACAGGUGACACGUGCUACUUUAUCACAUGCUCUGAUUUCCCUGAAAUCCUUCAAAAUAACAGACAUUGAAUAACUAUUUUUAAGAAUGAUUUAUAAUCCAAACCAAUCUAGACUUCAUGUAACAUGUUGCAGUUACAAAAUGAUUAAGAUCAGUGCCAAAAUAUAAAUUUCUCAUAGUGCCACCUGCAAAUUUGUCUAAAGAAAUCAAUAAAUAUGUAUGCAUGGUCAUGUCAGAAUGC
This 1013-nucleotide small RNA is filed under the name Rattus norvegicus (Norway rat). RNAcentral describes it as "uncharacterized LOC102546496". Lineage: Eukaryota; Metazoa; Chordata; Mammalia; Rodentia; Muridae. The record is from RNAcentral.